Phrynosoma platyrhinos (Desert horned lizard) is the source of this 72-nucleotide non-coding RNA. NCBI's taxonomy places the organism in Eukaryota, Metazoa, Chordata, Lepidosauria, Squamata, Phrynosomatidae. The record is from the annotation of a GenBank genome assembly.
ACCAGCAUGAUGUAGUGGCUUAAAUGCUUGACUAUGACUGUAGAGACCAGGGUUCAAAUCCCUGCUCAGUCA